This 290-nucleotide ribosomal RNA is filed under the name Porphyromonadaceae bacterium. RNAcentral's name for it is "partial 23S ribosomal RNA". It matches the Rfam family "Bacterial large subunit ribosomal RNA", at positions 2619 to 2925 of the family's 2925-position model. The record is from RNAcentral. Lineage: Bacteria; Pseudomonadati; Bacteroidota; Bacteroidia; Bacteroidales; Porphyromonadaceae.
UCGUGAGACAGUUCGGUCUCUAUCUGUUGUGGGCGUUUGAGAUUUGAGGGGGCCUGACACUAGUACGAGAGGACCGUGUUGGACGAACCGCUGGUUUAUCGGUUAUGCCGCCAGGCGUAUUGCCGAGUAGCUACGUUCGGUUGAGAUAAGUGCUGAAAGCAUCUAAGUACGAAGCUUGCCUCAAGAUUAGAUCUCAUUAAGGGUGGUUAUAGACGAUGACCUUGAUAGGCUACAGGUGUAAAGGCGGUGACGUCAUAGCCGAGUAGUACUAAUUGCCCGAAAGUUUUUGC